Molecule: unclassified non-coding RNA, 254 nt
Filed under: uncultured Gemmatimonadota bacterium
Lineage: Bacteria; Pseudomonadati; Gemmatimonadota
Description: uncultured Gemmatimonadetes bacterium contains 16S-23S intergenic spacer region
Rfam family: Bacterial small subunit ribosomal RNA
Source: RNAcentral
GACGGAGGGCGCAAGCGUUGUUCGGAAUUACUGGGCGUAAAGCGCGCGCAGGCGGGUUGUGUAAGUCGGCGGUGAAAGCCUGGGGCUCAACCCUGGGACGCCCGUCGAUACUGCGAACCUUGGGACCGGUAGAGGUCGGUGGAAUUCCCGGUGUAGCGGUGGAAUGCGUAGAGAUCGGGAAGAACACCUGUGGCGAAGGCGGCCGACUGGGCCGGAUCCGACGCUGAGGCGCGAAAGCGUGGGGAGCAAACAGG